UACGUAGGGUGCAAGCGUUAAUCGGAAUUAUUGGGCGUAAAGCGUGCGCAGGCGGUUUUGUAAGCCAGAUGUGAAAUCCCCGGGCUUAACCUGGGAAUGGCAUUUGGGACUGCAAGGCUGGAGUGCGGCAGAGGAGACUGGAAUUCCUGGUGUAGCAGUGGAAAUGCGUAGAUAUCAGGAGGAACACCGAUGGCGAAGGCAGGUCUCUGGGCUGACACUGACGCUCAUGCACGAAAGCGUGGGGAGCAACAGG
This 253-nucleotide ribosomal RNA is filed under the name uncultured bacterium. Its description in RNAcentral is "partial 16S ribosomal RNA". It matches the Rfam family "Bacterial small subunit ribosomal RNA", at positions 524 to 775 of the family's 1533-position model. The record is from RNAcentral.